This 290-nucleotide ribosomal RNA is filed under the name uncultured bacterium. RNAcentral's name for it is "partial 16S ribosomal RNA". It matches the Rfam family "Bacterial small subunit ribosomal RNA", at positions 30 to 329 of the family's 1533-position model. The record is from RNAcentral.
CCUGAACGCUGGCGGCGUGGCUAAGACAUGCAAGUCGCACGGUGUAGCAAUACACAGUGGCGAACGGGUGAGUAAUGAAUCGCUAAUGUACCCUGGACUCUGGGAUAGCUGCCCGAAAGGGCAGGUAAUACCAGAUGAGACCACGAUCAGGCAUCUGAUUGUGCUCAAAGGUCCGCCGGUCUGGGAGCAGGCGAUUUCGUAUCAGCUUGUUGGUGAGGUAACGGCUCACCAAGGCGACGACGCGUAGCCGGACUGAGAGGUUGGCCGGCCACAUUGGGACUGAGACACUG